CCUACGGGAGGCUGCAGUGGGGAAUAUUGGACAAUGGGGGGAACCCUGAUCCAGCCAUGCCGCGUGUGUGAAGAAGGCCCUCGGGUUGUAAAGCACUUUCAGUGAGGAAGAACGCCUGGUGGUUAAUACCCAUCAGGAAAGACAUCACUCACAGAAGAAGCACCGGCUAACUCCGUGCCAGCAGCCGCGGUAAUACGGAGGGUGCGAGCGUUAAUCGGAAUUACUGGGCGUAAAGCGCGCGUAGGUGGCUUGACAAGCCGGUUGUGAAAGCCCCGGGCUCAACCUGGGAACGGCAUCCGGAACUGUCAAGCUAGAGUGCAGGAGAGGAAGGUAGAAUUCCCGGUGUAGCGGUGAAAUGCGUAGAGAUCGGGAGGAAUACCAGUGGCGAAGGCGGCCUUCUGGACUGACACUGACACUGAGGUGCGAAAGCGUGGGUAGCAAACAGGAUUAGAUACCCUGGUAGUC
Molecule: ribosomal RNA, 465 nt
Filed under: Vreelandella stevensii
Lineage: Bacteria; Pseudomonadati; Pseudomonadota; Gammaproteobacteria; Oceanospirillales; Halomonadaceae
Description: partial 16S ribosomal RNA
Rfam family: Bacterial small subunit ribosomal RNA
Source: RNAcentral